CCUACGGGUGGCAGCAGUGAGGAAUAUUGGUCAAUGGACGAGAGUCUGAACCAGCCAUGCCGCGUGCAGGAUGACUGCUCUAUGGGUUGUAAACUUCUUUUAUAUAGGAAUAAACUUUUACACGUGUGUUCAUCUGUAUGUACUAUAUGAAUAAGGAUCGGCUAACUCCGUGCCAGCAGCCGCGGUAAUACGGAGGAUCCAAGCGUUAUCCGGAUUUAUUGGGUUUAAAGGGUGCGUAGGUGGAUUGUUAAGUUAGUGGUGAAAUGUGGGGGCUCAACUCUAAAAUUGCAUUUAAGACUGGCAGUCUUGAGAACAGAAGAGGUAGGCGGAAUGCGUGGUGUAGCGGUGAAAUGCUUAGAGAGCACGAAGAACACCGAUUGCGAAGGCAGCUCACUAGACUACAACUGACAUUGAGGCACGAAAGUGUGGGGAGCAAACAGGAUUAGAUACCCGGGUAGUC
This 460-nucleotide ribosomal RNA is filed under the name uncultured bacterium. Its description in RNAcentral is "partial 16S ribosomal RNA". It matches the Rfam family "Bacterial small subunit ribosomal RNA", at positions 338 to 795 of the family's 1533-position model. The record is from RNAcentral.